This 295-nucleotide ribosomal RNA is filed under the name Kyklioacalles pyrenaeus. RNAcentral describes it as "partial 28S ribosomal RNA". It matches the Rfam family "Eukaryotic large subunit ribosomal RNA", at positions 1340 to 1586 of the family's 3401-position model. The record is from RNAcentral. Lineage: Eukaryota; Metazoa; Arthropoda; Insecta; Coleoptera; Curculionidae.
GCUUAUACUCGACCGUCAGCGGCACGUGCGAUCGCGCUCGCGCGCGAUCACGAAGCCCUGACGAGUAGGAGGGUCGCGGCGGUGAGCGCAGAAGGGCUGGCCGCGAGGCCGUCUGGAGCCGCCGUCGGUGCAGAUCUUGGUGGUAGUAGCAAAUACUCCAGCGAGGCCCUGGAGGACUGACGUGGAGAAGGGUUUCGUGUGAACAGCCGUUGCACACGAGUCAGUCGAUCCUAAGCCCUAGGCGAAAGCCGAUGUCGAUGCGGUGUAGCUUUAUUGUUAUUAUUAAUUAAUUAAC